Molecule: transfer RNA, 60 nt
Filed under: pig gut metagenome
Rfam family: tRNA
About the family: Transfer RNA (tRNA) molecules are approximately 80 nucleotides in length. Their secondary structure includes four short double-helical elements and three loops (D, anti-codon, and T loops).
Source: RNAcentral
AUUAGCUCAGUCGGUAGAGCACUUGACUUUUAAUCAAGGUGUCCCGGGUUCGAUUCCCGG